GGGAUGUUCACAGCCCAGCUAGGAAGCUGAGACCACUCUAGAACUCAUCUUAUCUUUCCUGUUUGCAAGAGGAAAGGAUUGAGUACUCUUAAUCCCAAGAUGCUCUCUUCACUGUAUAAAAUGAGAUCAAUGUGUACUUGACAUUAAGCUCAUGAAAACUGCUUAGCAUACCACCUAGUAAAUGGGUGCACUGUGUUAGGUAAAAUCAAAGUCCACGCCGUGACCUUGAAGGCCCAAUUUGAUCACCUCUGACUACUCCUCAGGACCUCAGCUCACACCCCUGCUCCUGACCCACUAUGCUCCUUUCAUACUUGACCUUCUUUCUCUUCCUAGAACAUAUCAAGCUCUUCCCCACCUCAGGGCCUUUGCAUUUGCUAUUCUCUCUGCCUGGAAUACUUUUCCCUGAGAUUUUUCAGAAAAAAAAAAAAGGCUCUUUCCUGACAUCCAGCUAUCAGCUCAAAUACAUCUUUUUUAAAGAGAGCUAUCUCCAAGCUAACAGAUACAUAGAGAAUUCAAUACCCAGCCAGGAAGUCCUUUCUCUUAGAGUGCACAUGGAACAUUUAUACAAAUAGACUUGCAUGUAUUUCCUCAGUACAUGCCAACAUAUAUUAUGAUACAGAACAGGUUAUCCAACCACAGAAACUAGAAAUUCAUUUAAAAAUAGAUUUUAAAAUGUUGGGAAAUUUACUAGAUACAUUAGAUAUUGCUAAAUGACUCUUGGAAAUAUCUAGAACUGAACAAUGAAAAUGUUACAUGUCAAAACUGGUGGGAGGUGGGUAAAUAGCACCUCAAAGGGAGUGUACAGGGGCUAGAGUUGUGGUUCAGUGGUAGAGCACUCGUAUCACACAUGUGAAGCAUUGGGUUCAAUCCUCAAUGCCACAUAUAAAUAAAUAAAAUAAAGGUAUUGCGUCCAUCUGCUAAACUUAAAAAAAAAUUUUUA
Molecule: long non-coding RNA, 940 nt
Filed under: Marmota monax (woodchuck)
Lineage: Eukaryota; Metazoa; Chordata; Mammalia; Rodentia; Sciuridae
Source: RNAcentral